Molecule: ribosomal RNA, 867 nt
Filed under: Lactarius silviae
Lineage: Eukaryota; Fungi; Basidiomycota; Agaricomycetes; Russulales; Russulaceae
Description: eukaryotic LSU rRNA
Rfam family: Eukaryotic large subunit ribosomal RNA
Source: RNAcentral
CGGAGGAAAAAGAAACUAACCAAGGAUUUCCCCCUAGUAACUGCGAGUGAAGCGGGAAAAGCUCAAAUUUAAAAUCUGGCGGCUCCGCCGUCCGAGUUGUAAUUUAGAGAAGCGACUUCCGCGCCGGCCUGUGCACAAGUCUCCUGGAACGGAGCGUCGUAGAGGGUGAGAAUCCCGUCUUUGGCACAGACUCCCGGUGCUUCUGUGAUGCGCUCUCGAAGAGUCGAGUUGUUUGGGAAUGCAGCUCAAAAUGGGUGGUGAACUCCAUCUAAAGCUAAAUAUUGGCGAGAGACCGAUAGCGAACAAGUACCGUGAGGGAAAGAUGAAAAGCACUUUGGAAAGAGAGUGAAACAGUACGUGAAAUUGUUGAAAGGGAAACGCUUGAAGUCAGUCGCGUCUACCGAGACUCAGCCUUGCCUUGGCUUGGUGUACUUCUCGGCCCGACGGGUCAGCAUCAAUUUUGCCCCUCGGAUAAUGGCAAGGGAAAGGUGGCACCUUUACGGGUGUGUUAUAGUCUCCUGUCGCAUGCGAGGGGUGGGAUUGAGGAACUCAGCACGCACCUCGGUGUCGGGGCUUCGGCCCACGUAACGUGCUUAGGAUGUUGGCGUAAUGGCUUUAAACGACCCGUCUUGAAACACGGACCAAGGAGUCCAACGCGCCCGCGAGUGUUCGGGUGGAAAACCCGUGCGCGCAAUGAAAGUAAAAGUUGGGACCUCUGUCGUGGAGGGCACCGACGCCCGGACCAGACCUUCUGUGACGGAUCUGCGGUAGAGCGUGCGUGUUGGGACCCGAAAGAUGGUGAACUAUGCCUGAAUAGGGUGAAGCCAGAGGAAACUCUGGUGGAGGCUCGUAGCGAUUCUGACGUGC